AUUUUUUAACCGACUAAUUUGGACAAAACGCGAUUUUUGUGCAGCUUCAGAUUCACAGAGACACCAAUUGAGAUAUUGAAAGCAUUCCCACCGCCAAUCAGGAUAUGGGGGCCUUCUGAGAGAUGAAGCAAGCACUUGGCUAUGGGGCUACUAUGGAAAGUUUGGUCAUUGCACAAGUCUGGAGGCACAGAUCUGGGCCAUUUAUAGAGUACUCACCAUCAUCUUUCAAAAAGGCACUACUGAAGUGGAAAUUGAAUCUGACUCAGAACAUGCCAUCAAUCAAAUUCUCCAAGGUCCAAGUCAAAACUCACCUUACAAAGCCCUCAUUGAAGAUACAAAUUUCUGCUACAAAGGUGCAACUGUUCCCUUGGCCACACACUGCGAGAGGGAAACAAAGCUGCUGAUAAAUUAGCCAGCGCAGGAUGAUCAUGUUGUGAUACUUGAGGAUCCUCCACCUGAAGUCACACCUUUGAUCAUUGAUGAUAUGUGUGGUGUUAGUGUAGCGAGGGAUUAACCCUCUGCUUGGUGUUUUGCUUCUGUGAACUCUUGUUUAGUACUUUCCUUUGAAUCAAAAUAAAAAGAAGAAAGCAUUCCCUCCGAGACAGCACCAAUGAAAUCGUUUUUGUUGGGUCUCUUUUGUUCUAGCCCUAACAACUUCCCAAGAGAAAUAAUCCAAAAUAUUUCAAUUGAAGUUGUCCGUGACAUUGCUGAAUCUGCUGUUUCAGAGCUUCAAAUUCUGUAAUCAAGACGGUGAUCUAAUCAACUGGACUCCGUCUUUUAGUUGAAUUUGUGGCUUUUGGGUCGUGGGUUUGAUUGGUUGGUUUCCUUUUGGUCCAUUUUACUCUUCCAUUUAGUGUUUUGGCUGAUGGUGCAAAGGCUAUGGGACACAUACGAACUAAAUGAUAUGCUAUAGUUUCACUAACUCAACUAAAGUAGCUGCCCAAGAAGAGGUGUUGAAGUCUGUGAGUUUUACAGAAGUGUUUGUCCCAAAGGAAAAGAGGAUAUUUGUAUGUGGCUUGCUCUGGCUCGUGUUCAUCUCAUUUGCGGUGAGUUGGAUGCCUUCAGGUGAGACAUAAGCAUCUCCUUCUGCAACUAUCUCUGCAUUUAGUUGCGGACCAAUAUUAGUCAAGUUGAAGCUCAGUGCAGUUGCAUGAAGAGGGUUUACUACAAGGUAGUAACAGAUGAUUGCGUAGAAGAAGAAGAAAAAGAGAGAACAAAGUAAAUUUUGUGAUCGGAGGGGGUUCCACGAGUUGCAAACAACCAUGGCCAUGGUUGGUUGAGGAUAACUAGUUUUUGGUGAGUGAUUUUGACAUAUAAAUUAGUAAAUAACUGUAGACAUCUUUUGUACCAAAGUCUUGCAACUUCUGUGUUUUUUUUUUUUUUUUUUUUUUUUUUUUUUUUUUUUUUUUUUUUUUUGGAACACAAGUUUUGCAACUUUGUUGAAUCAGUCUUUUUGUGUACUGUUUCAUAGAUAUAAUUUUCUUUUCAUUGCGUGUAUUCUUUUUAAUCGCAAAAAAUAGAAAACAUUGCUUGGUAAUA
Molecule: non-coding RNA, 1539 nt
Organism: Camellia sinensis
Lineage: Eukaryota; Viridiplantae; Streptophyta; Magnoliopsida; Ericales; Theaceae
Source: RefSeq, a predicted model, not a curated record